Molecule: non-coding RNA, 22 nt
Filed under: Arabidopsis thaliana (thale cress)
Lineage: Eukaryota; Viridiplantae; Streptophyta; Magnoliopsida; Brassicales; Brassicaceae
Source: RNAcentral
UGGAAGCCUCGGUAUUUCGCCU